This 564-nucleotide ribosomal RNA is filed under the name fungal endophyte. Its description in RNAcentral is "eukaryotic LSU rRNA". The stretch from base 209 to 362 matches the Rfam family "5.8S ribosomal RNA". The record is from RNAcentral. Lineage: Eukaryota; Fungi.
UCGUAACAAGGUCUCCGUUGGUGAACCAGCGGAGGGAUCAUUAACGAGUUCCAUUCUCCUUAAUACACCCGUGAACGUUUCUUCAACUGUUCGUUGCUUCGGCGGGCGGCCCCGGGGAGGGGCCGCAGCCCGCAAGGGCGCCCGCCGGCGGCAGCGCAGCACAACUCUUGCGAUUUAGGCCCCUCUGAGAAGACACUAAAUGAGUCAAAACUUUCAACAACGGAUCUCUUGGUUCUGGCAUCGAUGAAGAACGCAGCGAAAUGCGAUAAGUAAUGUGAAUUGCAGAACUCAGCGAAUCAUCGAAUCUUUGAACGCACAUUGCGCCCGCCGGCAUUCCGGCGGGCAUGCCUGUUCGAGCGUCAUUUCAACCCUCGAGCCCUGCUCGGUGUUGGGGCCCCGCGGCCGCCGCGGGCCCUGAAAAGAAGUGGCGGGCGCGCCUGGACCCGUAGCGCAGUAAUACACCUCGCUCGCGGCGUCCCGGCGCGUGCCGGCCGUAAAACCCCUUUAUCUCAAGGUUGACCUCGGAUCAGGUAGGAAUACCCGCUGAACUUAAGCAUAUCAAUA